GAUGAACGCUGGCGGCGUGCUUAACACAUGCAAGUCGAACGGACAAGAUGAAGCCUAGCGAUUCUUGUUAGUGGCGGACGGGUGAGUAACGCGUGGGUAACCUGCCUCACACUGGGGGAUAACAGUUAGAAAUGACUGCUAAUACCGCAUAAGCGCACAGCUUCGCAUGAAGCAGUGUGAAAAACUCCGGUGGUGUGAGAUGGACCCGCGUCUGAUUAGCUAGUUGGUGGGGUAACGGCCUACCAAGGCAACGAUCAGUAGCCGGCCUGGGAGGGUGAACGGCCACAUUGGGACUGAGACACGGCCCAA
RNAcentral lists this ribosomal RNA (309 nucleotides) under uncultured bacterium. Its description in RNAcentral is "bacterial SSU rRNA". It matches the Rfam family "Bacterial small subunit ribosomal RNA", at positions 28 to 334 of the family's 1533-position model. The record is from RNAcentral.